AAGUCGUAACAAGGUUUCCGUAGGUGAACCUGCGGAAGGAUCAUUAACAUCUGUAAUGAAUUGUGGUGGUGUUUGUGUUUGCUUUGGUGAGCACGCAUCAUCUCAACCCCAUUGUGUGCAUGUUUGUGUGUGUGUGUGCGUGAGUGAGUAGUUUCUACUCUACUCUACCCACCUCACCCACUCUCUCUUUCACUUUCAACCCCAUCAAACCCCUUCUUCUCAUCACACUAGACUGACUUUACACCUCGUUUUACUCAGGCUCAACUGAGCAAAACAUCAAUCAGCAUACAACUCUUAGCAACGGAUAUCUAGGCUCUCGCAUCGAAGAACGCAGC
Molecule: unclassified non-coding RNA, 335 nt
Filed under: fungal sp.
Lineage: Eukaryota; Fungi
Description: partial internal transcribed spacer region
Rfam family: Eukaryotic small subunit ribosomal RNA (bases 1-46)
Source: RNAcentral